GAACGCUAGCGGGAUGCUUUACACAUGCAAGUCGAACGGCAGCGCGAGAAAGCUUGCUUUCUUGGCGGCGAGUGGCGAACGGGUGAGUAAUGUAUCGGAACGUGCCCAGUAGCGGGGGAUAACUACGCGAAAGCGUGGCUAAUACCGCAUACGUCCUACGGGAGAAAGAGGGGGAUCGCAAGACCUCUCACUAUUGGAGCGGCCGAUAUCGGAUUAGCUGGUUGGUGGGGUAAAGGCCUACCAAGGCGACGAUCCGUAGCUGGUUUGAGAGGACGACCAGCCACACUGGGACUGAGACACGGCCCAGACUCCUACGGGAGGCAGCAGUGGGGAAUUUUGGACAAUGGGGGCAACCCUGAUCCAGCCAUCCCGCGUGUGCGAUGAAGGCCUUCGGGUUGUAAAGCACUUUUGGCAGGGAAGAAACGGCCUGGGAUAAUACCCCGGGCUAAUGACGGUACCUGCAGAAUAAGCACCGGCUAACUACUGCCAGCAGCCGCGGUAAUA
This 504-nucleotide ribosomal RNA is filed under the name uncultured bacterium BHA16. RNAcentral describes it as "bacterial SSU rRNA". It matches the Rfam family "Bacterial small subunit ribosomal RNA", at positions 31 to 525 of the family's 1533-position model. The record is from RNAcentral.